RNAcentral lists this ribosomal RNA (464 nucleotides) under uncultured Klebsiella sp. Its description in RNAcentral is "bacterial SSU rRNA". It matches the Rfam family "Bacterial small subunit ribosomal RNA", at positions 338 to 795 of the family's 1533-position model. Lineage: Bacteria; Pseudomonadati; Pseudomonadota; Gammaproteobacteria; Enterobacterales; Enterobacteriaceae. The record is from RNAcentral.
CCUACGGGAGGCAGCAGUGGGGAAUAUUGCACAAUGGGCGCAAGCCUGAUGCAGCUAUGCCGCGUGUGUGAAGAAGGCCUUCGGGUUGUAAAGCACUUUCAGCGGGGAGGAAGGCGGUGAGGUUCAUAACCUCAUCGAUUGACGUUACCCGCAGAAGAAGCACCGGCUAACUCCGUGCCAGCAGCCGCGGUAAUACGGAGGGUGCAAGCGUUAAUCGGAAUUACUGGGCGUAAAGCGCACGCAGGCGGUCUGUCAAGUCGGAUGUGAAAUCCCCGGGCUCAACCUGGGAACUGCAUUCGAAACUGGCAGGCUAGAGUCUUGUAGAGGGGGGUAGAAUUCCAGGUGUAGCGGUGAAAUGCGUAGAGAUCUGGAGGAAUACCGGUGGCGAAGGCGGCCCCCUGGACAAAGACUGACGCUCAGGUGCGAAAGCGUGGGGAGCAAACAGGAUAGAUACCCGUGUAGUC